AGUGAACGCUGGCGGUAGGCCUAACACAUGCAAGUCGAACGGCAGCACAGUAAGAGCUUGCUCUUACGGGUGGCGAGUGGCGGACGGGUGAGGAAUACAUCGGAAUCUACUUUUUCGUGGGGGAUCACGUAGGGAAACUUACGCUAAUACCGCAUACGCCCUACGGGUGAAAGCAGUGGAUCUUCGGACCUUGCGCGAUUGAAUGAGCCGAUGUCGGAUUAGCUAGUUGGCGGGGUAAAGGCCCACCAAGGCGACGAUCCGUAGCUGGUCUGAGAGGAUGAUCAGCCACACUGGAACUGAGACACGGUCAAGACUCCUACGGGAGGCAGCAGUGGGGAAUAUUGGACAAUGGGCGCAAGCCUGAUCCAGCCAUACCGCGUGGGUGAAGAAGGCCUUCGGGUUGUAAAGCCCUUUUGUUGGGAAAGAAAAGCAGCAGGUUAAUACCCCGCUGUUCUGACGGUACCCAAAGAAUAAGCACCGGCUAACUUCGUG
RNAcentral lists this ribosomal RNA (492 nucleotides) under uncultured bacterium. Its description in RNAcentral is "partial 16S ribosomal RNA". It matches the Rfam family "Bacterial small subunit ribosomal RNA", at positions 29 to 507 of the family's 1533-position model. The record is from RNAcentral.